GUCCACGCCCUAAACUAUGUCAACUGGUUGUUGGGGUUUGACACUCUCAGUAACGAAGCUAACGCGUGAAGUUGACCGCCUGGGGAGUACGGCCGCAAGGUUAAAACUCAAAGGAAUUGACGGGGACCCGCACAAGCGGUGGAUUAUGUGGAUUAAUUCGAUGCAACGCGAAAAACCUUACCUACCCUUGACAUGUCCUGAAGCCUGGAGAGAUCCGGGUGUGCCCCGAAAGGGAACGGGAACACAGGUGCUGCAUGGCUGUCGU
RNAcentral lists this ribosomal RNA (265 nucleotides) under uncultured bacterium. Its description in RNAcentral is "partial 16S ribosomal RNA". It matches the Rfam family "Bacterial small subunit ribosomal RNA", at positions 793 to 1055 of the family's 1533-position model. The record is from RNAcentral.